Molecule: non-coding RNA, 2564 nt
Organism: Coffea arabica (coffee)
Lineage: Eukaryota; Viridiplantae; Streptophyta; Magnoliopsida; Gentianales; Rubiaceae
Source: RefSeq, a predicted model, not a curated record
AGAAAUAGUAAAGGGGAGGAUGUUUUCGCGAUUUCCACAAACUUAGAGUAGGUGAGUGUAAUUUACGAAAAGUUCAACGAUAUACACAAAACUGACAAAAGAGUACUCGUCACGGUUUCUUCUGGCUUGUUCUACAAUUUCUGCUUGCUGAAAUGGCGCCAAGGAGAAGCACUCCUGCUAUUACUAAUAAGACGAAGAAGAAGGCUAAAUCUCCGCUGUCCGAUCCUCAAGGAAUGUUCUCCGGGAUGGUUGUUCACUUAAUCGAAAGCGGAGUUCAGGCCCGUCGGUUACAGAUUUGGAAGCACCGAUUAGAGCAAUUGGGGGCGAAAAUAGAGGAUGAUUUCUCGAAAAAUGUUACGCAUGUGUUUGCUAUAAACUUAGAUACAUUGAUUCAAAAAGUUGAUCUUGAACUCGUAAAGCGCUUGAAAACGAUAGUUCUCAGUUAUCAGUGGCUUGAAGACAGCUUGAGAGAAGGAAAAAAAGUACUUGAAGAAUCAUAUAUUCUGUCAUUGGAGAGAGGAGGAGGUGACAAGAUAAGUAACACUGCAGAAGAAACUUUCCCCAAACUCUUGAAUGAUGUCCAUUCUGGUGCUAGUGAAACAUUACAGCGAAAAAAGAUCAGAAUUUCGCCAAUGGAUCUUGCAGAUACAAAUGUGAAGAACACUGUCAAAUUGGAGGAAAAUGCAGUACCUGAGUCACCUGAUUCUUCAAGUGGUUCAUAUGUCUCUAUGCAUUCUUUAAGUCCUGAAAUCACUGACCCAUCAAUUGAUGCUCAACACAAGACUGUUUUGACUUCAGACUCAGCCUUGCUUUACAGUCCUCCUGAUUUAAACAGGAAUAUAACUGAGAUAUUUGGGAGGCUUAUAAACAUAUAUAGAGCUCUUGGUGACGAUCGGAGGUCAUUUAGCUAUCACAAAGCCAUUCUUGUGAUUGAAAAGCUGCCUUUCAAAAUUGAGAGUGUGGAACAGGUUAAACACUUACCUGGUAUUGGCAAGUCAAUGCUAGAUCAUAUUCAGGAGAUAGUGACAACUGGGAAGCUAUCCAAGUUGGAGCACUUUGAGAAGGAUGAAAAGGUCAAGACAAUUAGUUUGUUUGGAGAAAUAUGGGGAAUUGGUCCAGCCACUGCUUUGAAGCUUUAUGAAAAAGGCCACCGAACUUUGGAUGACCUGAAAAAUGAGGAGUCAUUGACAAAUGCACAGAGGUUGGGGUUGAAGUACUUUGAUGAUAUCAGAAAAAGGAUUCCAAGGCAUGAGGUUGAAGAGAUGGGACAUCUUCUAAAGAAAGCUGGAGAUGAUGUUUUGCCUGGGGUAGAAAUUGUUUGUGGAGGAUCUUAUCGACGGGGAAAGGCUUCUUGUGGGGAUUUGGACAUAUUAAUUACUCAUCCUGAUGGUAAAAGUCAUGUAGGCUUUCUCCCACAGUAUGUGAAGCACCUGAAAGACAUGAAGUUCUUGAGAGAAGAUUUGGUCUUUAGAGUUCACAGCGAAGAGGGUACAGAUUCAGGAGUGGACACUUACUUUGGCCUUUGCACUUACCCUGGACGAGAAUUGCGGCACCGCAUAGACUUCAAGGUUUAUCCAAGGGACAUCCAUGCAUUUGGAUUGAUAGCUUGGACGGGGAAUGACGUAUUGAACAGGAGGAGAUCUUCCGGUCAGGCUUCCCUUCCCCUUUUCUAACCCUUACAUGCUACCUAAUGAGCGUCAAUGGGAAAAUGUAGAUUGUGGAGCUAUUAGCCUAUUGGAUCCACAGAGACAAUGUAGAUUGUUCCCAAAGACAACCUAGAAUACUUUCCUCUCGUUUUUGGUGCAAUCACCAUAACAUUCCGACUGAAAACCAAUGGUGGAUUGUCGUGUUAUCUCUUUUAGUCAUAUCAUUCUGAGUCAUGGUUUUCCUUUCUGCUACAGUCUUUGAUUUCAUAAUUAGGCAGAUUAAGUUACCGUUGUCUGCAACAGCAUCUUGGUGCCUUUGCAUUUUGUUUGCUAUUUAUUUUUAAUGUGUUUAGCCAUUCAAUACUGGUGGUUAAUAUUCCAGGUUGAGACUACUGGCAGAAUCCAAGGGUUUCCGAUUGGAUGAUACAGGGUUAUUUCCAGCUACUCGUGGCUCUGGUGGCCAACGGGGUAAAGGUAGUGCCAGUUUGAAACUUCGGACAGAAAAAGAGGUCUUUGAUUUCCUUGGCUUUCCUUGGCUUGAACCGCAUGAAAGAAAUUUAUAACAAACGGGCAGCUCUAUAGAUCCUUGAAUUUCCAGACGCCAAGGAUUUGCUUGAUGACUAUCGUCACUGGAAGAGAUGUGCCUGUCAUGCUAGCUUUUAGUUAAUUUGGUUGUCCACUCGGCUGAUGAUUAUUCAAAAAAGCUAUGGAGGCGAUCUGUAGGGGACGAAGUUCGCUCCAUGAACUUGUCCUUGGAAUUUUUGAUUCCCUUGCUUUACGUUCUUCAAAGUGGAAAAUUUUUGUGAGUAUAUAUAUGUAAAUAACGUGAAUCAUCUCUGUUUGCGCGAAGCAAAUUUUGGAAUGUUAACCUAAAAUAUGUAAAUCGAAUCCCGUCGAGGAAGAUACAAGAAUUUACAA